CCAAAUGUAUAAUUAGAAAAUUGUGUUUCAUUGUGAUUUUUGUACGUAAAUUGUGCUUGUGUUGCCUUUUCCUAUUUUAUUUUUUUGUUGUUUUGCCAUUUUCCUCACUAGCACACGCAGGUUGUGCCCGCUAUUGUUGUUGCUGUGCGGCACUAUCAAUACAUUGGUGCGUGUUGAGUCUUGGCAAUUUGCCUUUAAUUGAUAUGUAAUCAUUUGUCAACGUUGUGCAAAAUAAGGAAAUACUGCAUUUUCCAUCACCCAUUUCAGGCGCAUUUCUUGUUUUCGUUUUUCAGUGUUUCAGUGCAAAAUCAAUUUGAGCUGGUGGAGUGUGCAAAGCCAAUGUUGCCAAAUUUGUAAAAAAAAUAAAAACCAAACGAAAACACACGUAUUUGUUGUGAGUUUCUCGACAAAUUAUAUAAAUGCCUACAUAAAUGUGAGGAAUUCCACGCAAAAUAGUUGAAAUGUGUUGAGUGAAGUGCCAUAAAAAUUAAUAAAAAGAAUCAAGUAUUCCUUUUUUAAUUUCAAUUUCCUUUUUUCUCUACUAUAGCAGCUGAAAAAAAAAUAAUAGAAACUAAAUAAAGAAAUAUAAAGAAAUAAAAUAUGUGCAAGACGACUUUUUGCGUUGUAAUCAAUAAAUAAAUAAAUACAUACACACAUACAUAUUUGUCGCUCACUUUCGCAGGAAGCAGCAUUUCAAAUCACAACGAAAUCGAAAUCGAAAUAAAAAUAAAAAAUAACUAGUUUCCUUUACAUGUAUGUAUUUAUAUUCGUGUGAGUGUUUCUGCGCGCGCGUAAUUAUUUGUUGCUGCGCUCACUUUAUGCCUUUCGAUAAUUUCAUAUUUACAUGCAUCUAAAUUUUGCAAGUGCCUGAAAUUCCACGAAUGUGAUAAUGGAUGCAAUUUUCAUCACAUUCUAUAUAUGGAAAUUGCUAUCGUUGCAGCCGAAGGAUUUGUGGAUUUUAACUAAAUUACAAGUGUGUUAAAUCGUGAAUACCCUGUUGUGGUUGGCUGUGGUCGAAGUACAGUAGAGCAACACUAGAAUAAAUAAAUUAAUAUAUUUAUUAAAUAUACAUAUCAAAACAUGAAUAAAUACAUAUGUGUGCACAUGUAAUCGUGUAUGUAUAUCAGUGGUAAAUGAAAGGAGCAAUAAAUUUAAAAGUUCAAUUGAUUUCACAUUCAGCAACUGCUGUCACCAUUUAGCCGCGCGGUCAAUUUGCCACUUUGUCAAGUGUCUCGCUGAAUAAGUGUUUGUGCUUGUGUAAGAGUGUACGCGUGCGUGAAAUGUCAAAAGCUCAUUGGCAGAGUACAUCAGAGUACGCAUGAGUCAGAAAUAAUAAUAAGAAGUAACAAAAACCUUUUUAAUUAAAAAAAAAAAAAUUAUAUUGAAAAAUUAUCACCACAGCGAAAUUACUUGGUGAAUUUCCUUUCGAAAGUGUAAAGUGUUAAUUUAUUAAUAUUUUUGUUUAGUUCUUCAUUAUCGAUCAUUAAAAAGCCUACAACUCAUUGAAUUUAUGUUAAAAUUUGAAAAUGAAGUGUGUGCUACAUGCGCAAAUCAUCAACACAAUCAGCAUACAGUUGCUAAUGUUGUUAAUUUCGUUGAAUUCCCGCAGUGUCGAUUCGAGCUGAAUAGUUCCGAUUUGUGUUUUUCCCUUGAUAAAAAUAUUAGUAUUUUUUCUCUUCUUUCGUUUUUUGUUAUUUUAUUUCUUGCAUUUAAACGCGAUUUACGAAUUUCCACUUCAAACGAUGAGAUUACAUCAUAUUUUCUGGAUAUUCUGCAUGUCUUAAUAAAAUCCUCGGGGACCUGAAAAAAGCAUUUACGACGAUAGAGGUAAGUGAGAUAAAACACCUUUUUCUACAUAUUUUACCCUAUACUAGUUUUAAGCCGUGGCUUCUCAGCAUAUAAACAAAAUCGGGUAGAAUAAAAUAAAUAAAAUAA
Long non-coding RNA from Anastrepha ludens (Mexican fruit fly), 1935 nucleotides. RefSeq lists it as uncharacterized. NCBI's taxonomy places the organism in Eukaryota, Metazoa, Arthropoda, Insecta, Diptera, Tephritidae. The transcript is spliced from 2 exons. The record is from RefSeq and is a predicted model, not a curated record.